GCAUAUCAAUAAGCGGAGGAAAAGAAACCAACAGGGAUUGCCCUAGUAACGGCGAGUGAAGCGGCAACAGCUCAAAUUUGAAAUCUGGCGCAAGCCCGAGUUGUAAUUUGUAGAGGAUGCUUCUGGGUAGCGACCGAUCUAAGUUCCUUGGAACAGGACGUCAUAGAGGGUGAGAAUCCCGUAUGUGACCGGCCCGCACCCUUUACGUAGCUCCUUCGACGAGUCGAGUUGUUUGGGAAUGCAGCUCUAAAUGGGAGGUAAAUUUCUUCUAAAGCUAAAUACCGGCCAGAGACCGAUAGCGCACAAGUAGAGUGAUCGAAAGAUGAAAAGUACUUUGGAAAGAGAGUUAAAAAGCACGUGAAAUUGUUGAAAGGGAAGCGCCUGCAACCAGACUUCGCGGCAGUGUUCCGCCGGUCUUCUGACCGGUUCAUUCUCUGUCGCGAGGCCAUCAUCGUCUGGGCCCGCCGGAUAAGACCUGAGGAAUGUGGCUCCCCCUCGGGGGAGUGUUAUAGCCUCUGGUGAUGCGGCGUGGCUCGGGCGAGGUCCGCGCUUCGGCAAGGAUGAUGGCGUAAUGGUUGUCGGCGGCCCGUCUUGAAACACGAUAAGAGGUACCUAACAUCUAU
RNAcentral lists this ribosomal RNA (623 nucleotides) under Cercospora sp. CMON56. Its description in RNAcentral is "LSU rRNA". It matches the Rfam family "Eukaryotic large subunit ribosomal RNA", at positions 38 to 664 of the family's 3401-position model. The record is from RNAcentral. Lineage: Eukaryota; Fungi; Ascomycota; Dothideomycetes; Mycosphaerellales; Mycosphaerellaceae.